Molecule: ribosomal RNA, 234 nt
Filed under: Triticum aestivum (bread wheat)
Lineage: Eukaryota; Viridiplantae; Streptophyta; Magnoliopsida; Poales; Poaceae
Description: partial small subunit ribosomal RNA
Source: RNAcentral
UAGGCGCGGGACUAGCCCCCGCGGGUUGGUGUUAUACCAACUGCCCGGGGACAGUGCGUCGCGAUGUAUUUCUCCACCCCCGGCCGCCGUGCGUCAUGCUCCAAGUGGCGCAACGGUCCGAGGGGUGGCUUUUGGGGCUGGGCUAGAUCCAGAUCGCGACUGUCACUGCCCUUCGAGGCGGGGGCGGUGACGGGUGUGUGGCGGCGGUAGGUGAGGGACGGUAGUGGCCGGUGG